AAGAAAGUAAAUAAGGGCGCAUGGCGGAUGCCUUGGCUCUCGGAGGCGAUGAAGGACGUGAUAAGCUGCGAUAAGCUUCGGGUAGGUGCAAAUAACCUUUGAUCCGAAGAUUUCCGAAUGGGACAACCCGGCAUUCUGAAGGAAUGUCAUCCAACCAAGUUGGAGGCUAACGCAGGGAACUGAAACAUCUUAGUACCUGCAGGAAAAGAAAAUAAAUAAUGAUUCCCCUAGUAGUGGCGAGCGAACGGGGAAUAGCCCAAACCACCCGUGUUACGGCAUGUGUGGGGUUGUAGGACCACGCUCUCGCAAGAAAGUUAUUGAGAAGAAGCGGCUGGAAAGCCGCGCCAUAGACGGUGAUAGCCCGGUAUUCCAAGGUAACUGAAGCGUAGUGGUAUCCUGAGUAGCGCGGAGCACGAGGAAUUCUGCGUGAACCAGCCGGGACCAUCCGGUAAGGCUAAAUACUCCCGAGAGACCGAUAGCGAACCAGUACUGUGAAGGAAAGGUGAAAAGCACUUCGAAUAGAAGAGUGAAAUAGUCCCUGAAACCAUGCGCCUACAAGCGGUCGGAGCAGCGUAAGUUGUGACGGCGUGCCUUUUGCAUAAUGAACCUACGAGUUACUUUUUCCGGCAAGGUUAAGCAUCUUGAGAUGUGGAUCCGAAGCGAAAGCGAGUCUGAACAGGGCGGAUAGUCGGAAGGAGUAGACGCGAAACCAAGUGAUCUACCCUUGGGCAGGUUGAAGGUUAGGUAACACUAACUGGAGGACCGAACCGAUAAGCGUUGAAAAGCUUCCGGAUGACCUGAGGGUGGGGGUGAAAGGCUAAUCAAACUUGGAGAUAGCUCGUACUCCCCGAAAUGCAUUUAGGUGCAGCCUUGAGAAUUACUAAUGUGAGGUAGAGCGACUGAUAAGAUGCGAGGGCUUCACCGCCUAUCAAGUCUUGAUAAACUCCGAAUGCGCAUUAGUUCGAUCUCAGGAGUGAGGGCAUGGGUGCUAAGGUCCAUGUCCUAAAGGAGAAGAAUCCAGACCAUCAGCUAAGGUCCCCAAAUAAACACUAAGUUGAACUAACGAAGUCAGAUUGCUAAGACAGCUAGGAUGUUGGCUUGGAAGCAGCCAUUCAUUUAAAGAGUGCGUAACAGCUCACUAGUCGAGGAGUUUGGCGUGGAUAAUAAUCGGGCAUCAAGUGUUUUACCGAAGCUAUGGGAUACGUAAGUAUCGGUAGGGGAGCAUUCCACUCUGCGUUGAAGGCGAAGCGUGAGCUUUACUGGAGCGUGUGGAAAAGCAAAUGUAGGUAUAAGUAACGAUAAAGGGGGUGAGAAACCCCCUCGCCGCAAGACUAAGGUUUCCUGAUCAACGCUAAUCGGAUCAGGGUUAGUCGGGUCCUAAGGCUCAGCCGAACGGUGAUGCCGAUGGCAGAACAGGUUAAUAUUCCUGUACUAGCAUUAAGAGUGACGUGGAGACGGAGGAGUGACAACGCCGCGGACUGACGGAAUAGUCCGUUAAAGGGUGUAGAUGUUGAUUGUCCCAGGCAAAUCCGGGAUAAGAGUCGAACCUGACAGUAUACCAAUUUCCUCGGAAAACGGUAAUAGUGCGUGUAAACAUACUCCCAAGAAAAUCCGCUAAACUUAAUCUUAAUGGUACCCGUACCGCAAACGGACACACGUAGUCGGGUUGAAUAUACUCAGGCGCUUGAGUGAAUCACGGUUAAGGAACUAGGCAAAUUGACCCUGUAACUUCGGGAUAAAGGGUCCCUACCCGGUGACGGGAGGGCGCAGAGAAUAGGUCCAGGCAACUGUUUAACAAAAACACAGGGCUGUGCAAAAUUGAAAGAUCACGUAUACAGCCUGACACCUGCCCGGUGCUGGAAGGUUAAGAGGAGAUGUCAUCGCAAGAGAAGCAUUGAAUUGAAGCCCCAGUAAACGGCGGCCGUAACUAUAACGGUCCUAAGGUAGCGAAAUUCCUUGUCGGGUAAGUUCCGACCUGCACGAAUGGUGUAAUGAUCUGGACACUGUCUCAACCGUGAGCUCAGUGAAAUUGUAGUAUCGGUGAAGAUGCCGAUUACCCGCGAUGGGACGAAAAGACCCCGUGAACCUUUACUAUAGCUUAACAUUGAAUUUGGGUAAUUGAUGUGUAGGAUAGGCCGGAGACUU
Molecule: ribosomal RNA, 2145 nt
Filed under: Bacteroides hominis
Lineage: Bacteria; Pseudomonadati; Bacteroidota; Bacteroidia; Bacteroidales; Bacteroidaceae
Description: partial 23S ribosomal RNA
Rfam family: Bacterial large subunit ribosomal RNA
Source: RNAcentral